CAAGUCUGGUGCCAGCAGCCGCGGUAAUUCCAGCUCCAAUAGCGUAUAUUAAAGUUGUUGCAGUUAAAAAGCUCGUAGUUGAAUUUCGGGAUCAAUACGUCGGUCGUGCUUUCGGGUACGUACUGGCGUCAUUGGUUUCUCCUUUCUGACGAACCAUGAUGUCAUUAAUUUGGUGUUAUGGGGAGUUAGGACUGUUACUUUGAAAAAAUUAGAGUGUUUAAAGCAGGCAUUAGCUUGAAUACAUUAGCAUGGAAUAAUGAAAUAGGACGUUCGAUCCUAUUUUGUUGGUUUCUAGGAUCAACGUAAUGAUUAAUAGGGAUAGUUGGGGGCAUUAGUAUUCAAUUGUCAGAGGUGAAAUUCUUGGAUUUAUUGAAGACUAACUACUGCGAAAGCAUUUGCCAAGGAUGUUUUCAUUAAUCAAGAACGAAAGUUAGGGGAUCGAAGACGAUCAGAUACCGUCGUAGUCUUGACCAUAAACUAUGCCGACUAGGG
This 492-nucleotide ribosomal RNA is filed under the name uncultured Glomus. Its description in RNAcentral is "SSU rRNA". It matches the Rfam family "Eukaryotic small subunit ribosomal RNA", at positions 556 to 1051 of the family's 1831-position model. The record is from RNAcentral. Lineage: Eukaryota; Fungi; Glomeromycota; Glomeromycetes; Glomerales; Glomeraceae.